This 497-nucleotide ribosomal RNA is filed under the name uncultured bacterium. Its description in RNAcentral is "partial 16S ribosomal RNA". It matches the Rfam family "Bacterial small subunit ribosomal RNA", at positions 28 to 507 of the family's 1533-position model. The record is from RNAcentral.
GAUGAACGCUGGCGGCGUGCCUAAUACAUGCAAGUCGAGCGAACAGAUAAGGAGCUUGCUCCUUUGACGUUAGCGGCGGACGGGUGAGUAACACGUGGGUAACCUACCUAUAAGACUGGGAUAACUUCGGGAAACCGGAGCUAAUACCGGAUAACAUUUGGAACCGCAUGGUUCUAAAGUGAAAGAUGGUUUUGCUAUCACUUAUAGAUGGACCCGCGCCGUAUUAGCUAGUUGGUAAGGUAACGGCUUACCAAGGCAACGAUACGUAGCCGACCUGAGAGGGUGAUCGGCCACACUGGAACUGAGACACGGUCCAGACUCCUACGGGAGGCAGCAGUAGGGAAUCUUCCGCAAUGGGCGAAAGCCUGACGGAGCAACGCCGCGUGAGUGAUGAAGGGUUUCGGCUCGUAAAACUCUGUUAUUAGGGAAGAACAAAUGUGUAAGUGACUGUGCACGUCUUGACGGUACCUAAUCAGAAAGCCACGGCUAACUACGUG